GUUAUUUGACUGGAGUGAGGUCUCAUGUCUGCUUAUGCGGUGGCUCGCUGCUCAGAACAGG
Molecule: unclassified non-coding RNA, 61 nt
Filed under: Homo sapiens (human)
Lineage: Eukaryota; Metazoa; Chordata; Mammalia; Primates; Hominidae
Description: novel transcript (LOC100505495) (ENSG00000280726.2)
Source: RNAcentral